Molecule: ribosomal RNA, 497 nt
Filed under: uncultured bacterium
Lineage: Bacteria
Description: partial 16S ribosomal RNA
Rfam family: Bacterial small subunit ribosomal RNA
Source: RNAcentral
GAUGAACGCUGGCGGCGUGCCUAAUACAUGCAAGUCGAGCGAACGGACGAGAAGCUUGCUUCUCUGAUGUUAGCGGCGGACGGGUGAGUAACACGUGGAUAACCUACCUAUAAGACUGGGAUAACUUCGGGAAACCGGAGCUAAUACCGGAUGAUAUUUUGAACCGCAUGGUUCAAAAGUGAAAGACGGUCUUGCUGUCACUUAUAGAUGGAUCCGCGCUGCAUUAGCUAGUUGGUAAGGUAACGGCUUACCAAGGCAACGAUGCAUAGCCGACCUGAGAGGGUGAUCGGCCACACUGGAACUGAGACACGGUCCAGACUCCUACGGGAGGCAGCAGUAGGGAAUCUUCCGCAAUGGGCGAAAGCCUGACGGAGCAACGCCGCGUGAGUGAUGAAGGUCUUCGGAUCAUAAAACUCUGUUAUUAGGGAAGAACAUAUGUGUAAGUAACUGUGCACAUCUUGACGGUACCCAAUCAGAAAGCCACGGCUAACUACGUG